AUUUACCCAAGUCUGCGUUAGGGAUAGAAGCGGCAUCCUUUUGUGACAAAUGUUGGUUCUUAAUUAACAAUGAUAUUUCCUGGAACAAAAGAUAUAGCGGAUAGCCCGGCCGGAG
Molecule: small RNA, 115 nt
Filed under: Flavobacterium cutihirudinis
Lineage: Bacteria; Pseudomonadati; Bacteroidota; Flavobacteriia; Flavobacteriales; Flavobacteriaceae
Description: Flavo-1 RNA
Rfam family: Flavo-1 RNA
Source: RNAcentral